UACGGAGGAUGCAAGCGUUAUCGGGAUUUAUUGGGUUUAAAGGGUGCGCAGGUUGUUUGAUAAGUCAGUGGUGAAAGUCUGUCGCUUAACGGUAGGAUUGCCAUUGAUACUGUUAGACUUGAAUAUGGAUGAGGUAGGCGGAAUGUGUAGUGUAGCGGUGAAAUGCAUAGAUAUUACACAGAACACCGAUUGCGAAGGCAGCUUACUAAUCCAUCAUUGACGCUGAGGCACGAAAGCGUGGGGAUCAAACA
RNAcentral lists this ribosomal RNA (251 nucleotides) under uncultured prokaryote. Its description in RNAcentral is "partial 16S ribosomal RNA". It matches the Rfam family "Bacterial small subunit ribosomal RNA", at positions 524 to 774 of the family's 1533-position model. The record is from RNAcentral.